Molecule: ribosomal RNA, 254 nt
Filed under: uncultured bacterium
Lineage: Bacteria
Description: partial 16S ribosomal RNA
Rfam family: Bacterial small subunit ribosomal RNA
Source: RNAcentral
UACGUAGGGGGGCAAGCGUUGUCCGGAAUCAUUGGGCGUAAAGAGCUCGUAGGCGGCUUGUCGCGUCGGAUGUGAAAGCCCGGGGCUUAACUCCGGGUCUGCAUUCGAUACGGGCAGGCUAGAGUUCGGUAGGGGAGAUCGGAAUUCCUGGUGUAGCGGUGAAAUGCGCAGAUAUCAGGAGGAACACCGGUGGCGAAGGCGGAUCUCUGGGCCGAUACUGACGCUGAGGAGCGAAAGCGUGGGGAGCGAACAGG